GCGCGGGGUGGGUGACAGACCUGGCCGCGCGCCACCACCACCGCGCCUGCCGGGGGCGCUGAAGCUGCCUGAGAAAGAAGCCACGGCUGCCGCCUGGAGGAGGUGCCGUAGCGCCCGCCACCGCUGCCGCCGCCGCCAGGGCAUGGACUUCACUGCAUCUCUCUCUGGUUGACCUCCAAUUCCAAAAUCUGCCUGCUUCAGCCUCCAGGAACUGAGAUAACACCAGCCUGCUCAUCCCUUACUCUAUGGAGGUGCCCUGAAGCAAUUCCUACAUGAUUCUUACACAUGCCACAUUUAGAAUCAUCUGAGGAGUGUUAGCCCAACCUUUGCCCUAAGUCUCUCCUGAAGCUAAGUAAAUCUGGAGAAUGGAGCGUAAAAGGGUGAAGUUCGGUGAAGAAGCUGCUGACCUGAGUGACGAGAUGCUUGGCUGCACGGGUGUCCUGUGGCUGAGGAGGGAAGCUUAGAGCCUGUGUCAUCAACUCUGUGAAAACAUGGGACACUGCCAGACAUAGAUGCACAUUGUCUGAGAAGGCUGGCCUCUAACUCAACGAUUGUGUAGACAACAGAAUAUCCAUAUCUAGAUUAUAUGUGUAAAGAACUUAUAAAAAUCAGUUAUGUUUUGUUUCUUGGUUUGUUUGGCUUUUUUCCGAUUGGUGUUAAUACUAUAGCCCAAAAAAAAAAAAAAAAAAA
Molecule: small RNA, 690 nt
Filed under: Rattus norvegicus (Norway rat)
Lineage: Eukaryota; Metazoa; Chordata; Mammalia; Rodentia; Muridae
Description: uncharacterized LOC102553460
Source: RNAcentral